GGAAUAGCUCAGUGGUAGAGUGCGUGCUUAGCAUGCAUGAGGUCCUAGGUUCAAACCCCAGUACCUCCA
Molecule: transfer RNA, 69 nt
Filed under: Camelus bactrianus (Bactrian camel)
Lineage: Eukaryota; Metazoa; Chordata; Mammalia; Artiodactyla; Camelidae
Also listed under: 1 other name
Rfam family: tRNA
About the family: Transfer RNA (tRNA) molecules are approximately 80 nucleotides in length. Their secondary structure includes four short double-helical elements and three loops (D, anti-codon, and T loops).
Source: Rfam by way of RNAcentral